This 333-nucleotide long non-coding RNA is filed under the name Vitis vinifera (wine grape). Its description in RNAcentral is "long non-coding RNA (VVIN_LNC002304)". The record is from RNAcentral. Lineage: Eukaryota; Viridiplantae; Streptophyta; Magnoliopsida; Vitales; Vitaceae.
UCUUCUUACUGGGCGCUUCGCUGGGCUGUUUCGCAGCGCUGCAGCGCGCAAGACGGAGCUCUUGUAAUGAUGAAAUUCUAGGGUUUUGAGUGGAGAUAAAGGCGGGGUUUGAUAGUGAGAGCAAAGGAGAUGGACGAGGUUUGAAGAGGUUGUGAAUGGAGGAGAGGUAUGAGGGUGUGGCAGUGGUGGAGAACGAACAGAGGGCCAUUUCUGUAUUGCUUUGCUGCGGCUUUUGCUUCGUUUGAAGUUUCCAGAUUUGAGCUCUCCGUUGCUUUCGCAGCGCGGUCUGUGGGUUUGGGGUUUUAGAUAUUUGUGUGCGCGCUCGUUUUUUUU